Molecule: long non-coding RNA, 310 nt
Filed under: Dasypus novemcinctus (nine-banded armadillo)
Lineage: Eukaryota; Metazoa; Chordata; Mammalia; Cingulata; Dasypodidae
Description: lncRNA (ENSDNOG00000051183.1)
Source: RNAcentral
UGGGCUGCUGUUCUGGGCCGUUUGCCUGUACAGACAUUUCUAGAAUCUCCAAGUGUCACUUCCAGGGUGGCCCAUCUCCUGUUCUGGACACCACUUUACACUCAGCCCAGCUCCAUGUAGCUGAAGGAAGCAUGCUAGUUCCCCUGCUCACCUGCUCGCCUGCCUCAGCUGCCACUCCAUUUCUUGGCUACUCCAGAGUGAACUGGGAUAGAGAAGGAAAGAAUAUACACAGCAGAAUAGAGGGCCACCAUGUCGUACUCUUUGUGAAUGGCCUCCUGGAGUUGGGCAAGGAGGAGAGACUGUACGGAGC